GUCUUCUUGUUUAUUGUAGGAAGUCUGACCUGCCCGGUGAUUUUAUUUAAACGGCCGCGGUAUAUUGACCGUGCAAAGGUAGCAUAAUCAUUAGUUUUUUAAUAGGGGACUGGUAUGAAGGGUUUGACGAGGAGUUAGCUGUCUCGUUAAGAUUAUUUGAAUUUGACUUUUUGGUUAAAAGGCUUUAAAAUUUUGUUGGUAGACGAGAAGACCCUAUAGAGCUUUACAUUUAUAUUUUUUUAUUUUUUUUGUUUUAUUUUUAGAUAUGUUUUGUUGAGUGUUUUGUUGGGGUGAUGACUGAAUAUAAAUAACUUCUUUUUUUCUAUCAUUGAUUUAUGUUUUUUUGAUCCGUUGUUUAAUUGACGAUUAUUAGUUCAAGUUACCUUAGGGAUAACAGCGUAAUCCCUUUUUGGAGUUCUUAUUUGCAAAGGGGCUUGCGACCUCGAUGUUGGAUUAAGAUAACUUUUUGGCGCAGUUGCUAAAUUUGUAGGUCUGUUCGACCUUUAAAUUCUUACAUGAUCUGAGUUCAGACCGG
RNAcentral lists this ribosomal RNA (535 nucleotides) under Telosticta longigaster. RNAcentral's name for it is "partial 16S ribosomal RNA". It matches the Rfam family "Bacterial large subunit ribosomal RNA", at positions 1819 to 2619 of the family's 2925-position model. Lineage: Eukaryota; Metazoa; Arthropoda; Insecta; Odonata; Platystictidae. The record is from RNAcentral.